Molecule: ribosomal RNA, 253 nt
Filed under: uncultured bacterium
Lineage: Bacteria
Description: partial 16S ribosomal RNA
Rfam family: Bacterial small subunit ribosomal RNA
Source: RNAcentral
UACAGAGGGUGCAAGCGUUGUUCGGAAUUAUUGGGCGUAAAGAGCGUGUAGGCGGUCCGGUAAGUCAGCUGUGAAAGUCAAGGGCUCAACCCUUGAAAGCCGGUUGAUACUGUCGGGCUAGAGUCCGGAAGAGGCGAGUGGAAUUCCCGGUGUAGCGGUGAAAUGCGCAGAUAUCGGGAGGAACACCAAUGGCGAAGGCAGCUCGCUGGGACGGUACUGACGCUGAGACGCGAAAGCGUGGGGAGCAAACAGG